UCUUUUAAAUAUAUAAUUUCCAUUUUUUGGCAGUUAACUUUUAAAAUGAGCUAUUCAUUCUACACUUGUACAGCACACAGUUUAUUGCAUUUUAUACGGUUAUAUUGAAAUUACAUGAACUGGGGCACCUAAGGGAAUGUUUAUGUUUCAGGAAAAAAAAAAAAAAAAUUGGACUGGAUUGAAAUGCAGCAUGAAUCAUAAGAGAAGUUUAGAAGCACAUGAAGAUGAAUGGGUCCCCAGUGACUCAACAGAGAACAUCUGUCAAUGCUGUCUGGAAAAUUAGAUGAUAUAAAUACCACGUCGAUCUACCUUGUAUUUUUUUGACUGCUCUUGAAUGAUGACUUUCAUAACCACACAUAUACCAACAAACUUUGAUUAGAUAUCUUUUCUGACUCACAUAGAAAUAGUUAAGAAAAGAAUCUGAAACAAGAAACUAUGAAGAAGGAAGAUGAGAGCUAUUUGAAGCGACUGGUACUUCAGUAAGAAAGGGAUCCAAUAAAUUAAGUGGUGUGGCUGCACGUUUAACAAAAUUGAAGAAGUUUUAACCAUAUACUUGAAUUCCAUAGUGUGACAGUGAGUUAUACAUUUGCUGCAUCCUAGCAGGAGCAGGUCACAUUUUGAAGCUUUUCUGUGUAAUUAUUAGAGACUGAAAACUUCUUUAAAAACAAAAGUCCAGAUGAUUCUGUGUUCCUAAGACUCUACAAGCAAGAACAUCAGCAUCCUUGUUGCCCCAGAAAUGAAGAAAAGUUUUCAAGUACAUCUAAAUAUUAUCUAACACCUGAGAGGAUGUCAAGGAGACGAAGUCAAUCUCAUCACAGUGGAAAGUCAAGAGAUUAUGGACAUGUGUUGAAACAAGAAAUUGUCAAAUGGGAUGUGAGAAAAAGCUUUUUCACCACAAGGACAGUGGAACAGAGGAAGAGGCUGCCCAGUGAAGAUAAUUAAGGAUCCAUAUAUUUAAUCUAGAAAAAAAGUUGUGCCUGUGUUCUUGUUCAUAAAUUCAAGCAAAAAGGAUCCCAGCUUGCUCAGGAAUCUUUUGAAAAUUACUGAAUACAAAGAGGCUACACUUUAUUGGGAAUUCCCUGCACUGCAACUGAUUGAAAGCUAGAAGAAUAUGAGAUUUAUGGCCAUCCGUUUAUGACCAUAUAAUAAAUGAGUUGGGUCUCAGUAGAUUUAUCUGGAUCUAGCCUUAGUCUAAACUGAAUUGAAAAUAGCUGUUCUUAAUUUUGUAUCAUACUUUCCUCCAUUUUACAGUAAAUUUGGGGGGGGGAGGGGAGGAAGGUAAAAAAGCUCAUAUGAACUGGAUGGGCAAGAGGGAUGGAUGUGUGUGUGUAAUCUGAAGAGUGGGAAAUUCAAGCACCCUGAACUCCACCUUUUAACAAAGUACAAAUCUAUGAGGGGUACUGGUCUCCCUCAGCUGAUUGGGAACUUAGUUUGUUCAGAGCAUAGGCCUCCAGCAUGUGCACAGAGCCAUGGCCCAGACCUCCCACAGCUUGUUUGGGCUCAGAUUUGCUUCCUCACAGCUCCGUCCAGCCACUGGCAAACUGAUUUUUGGUUAAUGUUUUCAUAGAUAUCUGAGGGAUUUCUUUACCACGCAUACACUCUAACAAAAAAUAACAAGCUCUUGAAAAUCUUUCCAAAGGAGUAAGAUAUCCGCGUCUGACUUCACUUCUGUGUGAAUAUCACCAGGACACCAACAUAUUGUGUGGGACUUUUUCCCGCUCUUCUUGCAUAUGGAAAUGAAAAGGGUCUCUAGUACUCCUUUUUUGCAACCCCCCUCAUGACUUUUAUAUCAUGUUGUCAGUUUGGGGUGCUUUGCAGCUAUUCCAUUUGUCAAUCAGAACAGGUUAAUAAUAGAAAAAUUAUUCAUG
Long non-coding RNA from Gallus gallus (chicken), 1868 nucleotides. Lineage: Eukaryota; Metazoa; Chordata; Aves; Galliformes; Phasianidae. The record is from Ensembl.